GAGCCUCUUAAGGCACAUAUGCAACAGGAUGUCAUGUUGCUCCUGAGCAGGUGGAAUGUUCUGCUCUUGGAAGAGAAAAAAGUCCUUUCCUCUCACCAUUUGGAGACCAAAGAACAACAAAAGGAAGAAGAAGAAUGAAACUCUAAUGAGAAAAUAGCAUUGUGCUUAACUCUGGGAAUAUGGAGACGAAUAACUUGCAGCGUUUGAGCCUGCAGCUAGCUCAGAAGACAGAUGUGAGGCCAGUUAACCCAUUGCAGUGAGAAACUUCAUGCCACCCAAGAAUAAACCUGUAAGGCUGGACAUGCUCGAACUGGUUUUGUUUGGGAGGAAUACUGAAUGGGUCAUCCAAGAAACCGAGCCCACCUAGGAUUAUAAAAAGUUUUCAUUGAUUAAUUGAAAUAAUAAAAUCUCUUAUUAUUUCCCCUCUAAGCAGGCAA
Molecule: long non-coding RNA, 437 nt
Organism: Manis javanica (Malayan pangolin)
Lineage: Eukaryota; Metazoa; Chordata; Mammalia; Pholidota; Manidae
Source: RefSeq, a predicted model, not a curated record